Molecule: long non-coding RNA, 786 nt
Organism: Gorilla gorilla gorilla (western lowland gorilla)
Lineage: Eukaryota; Metazoa; Chordata; Mammalia; Primates; Hominidae
Exons: 4
Source: RefSeq, a predicted model, not a curated record
GGUGGAACCAUAAGGGAGAUGCAGUGUGUGCUGGCCAGGCAGGGCUUGAGAUUAGGCCUUCAUGAGCAGGAAUUUCAGGGAGACUUCAUGUGAUUGCAUGCAGAAACAGGGUGUGCAGGCAGAGGAGGCAGCAGCUCUCCAUUAGGGUAUUCAUUUAUUAAAAUAUUCCUGCUGUCAUUUAGUACCUAUUAGGUCCCAGGCAUACAGCACUGCAAAGCAGAAAACAUUCUCUGUCUUCAUGGAACUUAUGUUCUAGCAAUGGCAACCAGACAAUAAAGAAGAUAAAAUGUGUGUAGGAUUAAUUAAUUUUAGAUCAAAGAUGCCCAGAGAAGAUCUCACCGAGAAAGGAGACAUUUGAGCAAAGAAAAAAACAAGACCACUGACAACUGCUGAGAAUGAACAGGAGGGAGCGCAGGCCGGGAGACUGGUGGAGGCGACUGCAAUCAUCUGGGGCAUCUUGGCGGCCCCUGCAGAGCUGGGGAGGGAGCCCCAAGGCCAGAGGCGGGGCAGGGGCUGCAUCAAGGUCUACGGAGCCCUCCUCUCCCACCCCUCCAGGGAAAGAUAUGAUCUCCUUUUACUAUUCAGCACCAACACCAGCGGACCAACAGCCCAAGAUUAAAGGCAAUUAGACAGGGCUUCUAAUCGCUUGGAAAUGUCAUCAAAGACAACAGCACAAAAGAGGGCAGGGGCCUUGGUGAUUCCUUCAAACUGGAGACCCUGGGCCUCUGCUUCCUUCCUUGUCACCUUGUCCUAACAGCACACAGGAGAAUAAAUGCUGGAACAGCC